Molecule: ribosomal RNA, 625 nt
Filed under: Sordaria nodulifera
Lineage: Eukaryota; Fungi; Ascomycota; Sordariomycetes; Sordariales; Sordariaceae
Description: eukaryotic LSU rRNA
Rfam family: Eukaryotic large subunit ribosomal RNA
Source: RNAcentral
UUGACCUCGGAUCAGGUAGGAAUACCCGCUGAACUUAAGCAUAUCAAUAAGCGGAGGAAAAGAAACCAACAGGGAUUGCCCUAGUAACGGCGAGUGAAGCGGCAACAGCUCAAAUUUGAAAUCUGGCUUCGGCCCGAGUUGUAAUUUGUAGAGGAAACUUUUGGUGAGGCACCUUCUGAGUCCCUUGGAACAGGGCGCCAUAGAGGGUGAGAGCCCCGUAUAGUCGGAUGCCGAUCCAAUGUAAAGUUCCUUCGACGAGUCGAGUAGUUUGGGAAUGCUGCUCAAAAUGGGAGGUAAAUUUCUUCUAAAGCUAAAUAUAGGCCAGAGACCGAUAGCGCACAAGUAGAGUGAUCGAAAGAUGAAAAGCACUUUGAAAAGAGGGUUAAAUAGCACGUGAAAUUGUUGAAAGGGAAGCGUUUGUGACCAGACUUGCGCCGUUCCGAUCAUCCGGUGUUCUCACCGGUGCACUCGGGGCGGCUCAGGCCAGCAUCGGUUUUGGUGGGGGGAUAAAGGUCCAGGGAACGUAGCUCCUCCGGGAGUGUUAUAGCCCUGGGCGUAAUGCCCUCGCUGGGACCGAGGUUCGCGCAUCUGCAAGGAUGCUGGCGUAAUGGUCAUCAACGACCCG